CCACGCCGCCCGCCCCCACGCCCCCACGCCCCACGACGCCCACCCCCACACCACUAUGCCCCCACGUGCCACGACGCCACGCCCCACGACGUCCUCCCUCACGCCCCCACGCCGCCCGCCCCCACGCCCCACGCCCCACGCCCCACGCCGUCCGCCCCCAAGCCCCCACGCCCCACGACGCCAGUCCCUAUGACGCCACGCCCGGGCAGCUUUGCGGGAAGGCGGCAGAACCCUGCGGCUGCGGAUGGAGCUGGCCGGCGGGGACUCUAGGGGACCGUCAGCUUUCAAAGGAGCCCCCUCCAAACCAGUGUUUCUGAAGCCCGGGAACAGACGCUCCGUCCGCCAGCGCUCAGAGAGGCCGCGGUUGAACUCCAAUAGCAGGAGAGCGGCUUUGAGUCGGCCCGAGAGGACCCUGUUUCUGAUGACAACGUGCAGUGUUCCGGAAGUUCCACCGAGAUGCCGUCGGCAUUGCUUUGCCUCAGAGCCCAGCCUCCUGCCGGACGUGGUGCCACAGAGGUCCCGUGUGCCUUGCGGCUGGCGUCUCGUUGAGUCUGCUCCGAUGUGGUUACGUAUUCUCUGGCAUAAAUAAUACAUUGGAAACAGCAAUGACUCCUUUCUGCCCAGUGCAUGAGAUCUGAGAGACAACGUCAUGUACAUGUUCACUGGCCUCAGGAUCAGCCUAGUUCAGAUAUUAGCUCCGUCACAGAUUAGCUAUUGAAACCAUAUGACAUUUGAGUGACUUUCUUCAUCUUGCCGGGACUCAAUUUCUUUUCUUUUGUAAAGAAAAAUAAUAUAGUCCCUUUUUUCAGAAGAAACAAGAUAACAGUAAAGCAUGUAACCUAAACCUGUUAGAUAGUAAUUGUUGAGCAAAAUUUAGCUGUUGUUUUUCCUAAUUGUGGGGGAACUCCAAUUAUCAUAAAGUAUUAUUUUAUAUAUUCUCAAACACUUCAUACUGUAACUGUUUUUAUUAUAUAAUCAUCUUUGGUGGCAACAGUUAAAGCAAGCUUAUGUCACCUUCAGCAGGGUAACUCUUUAACUGGUAUGUCCUGGUGAAAAUUUUUCAUACAACUUCUAUGCAUUUUGCUUCACCCGUGAGUCAACAUAUCACUUUAAAUAUUUUUAAAGAAUCCUUAUUAAAAACUUGUUCACAAAGAUCUUGCAUAUUUGAAAAAGAAAGUGGUAGUGUAAAUACUUAUCUCUCAGAUUAAAUGGCUCUUCAGGCCUUCAGGUCUCCAGGUCUCACUAGUAAAGCUAAAGAAACGUAAUAAAGAAAUAAAAAUAGAUCA
This 1286-nucleotide long non-coding RNA is filed under the name Felis catus (domestic cat). RNAcentral describes it as "lncRNA (ENSFCAG00000044910.2)". The record is from RNAcentral. Lineage: Eukaryota; Metazoa; Chordata; Mammalia; Carnivora; Felidae.